CCACUGUUGAAGAGUCCCACGAUAGGACGAAACGGCCGUCCAGUGC
RNAcentral lists this non-coding RNA (46 nucleotides) under Schistosoma mansoni. The record is from RNAcentral. Lineage: Eukaryota; Metazoa; Platyhelminthes; Trematoda; Strigeidida; Schistosomatidae.